GAUUAACACAACACACACUGGACGCACGGACCUCCGUUGGUUUCUUUGACCGGCGGCGCCACCAGCACAAAGUCGUAGAAAAAGUCUUUAACCCUCUUACCCUCCUACCACUUGUCACCACACUCAUUUAGCUCUUUUUCACUCUCUUCCUCAUCCGCAAAAACAACCAUUACUACAUCUAAAAACUAGGACUCCUACUCCUCUUCACCAUACAACCCUGCAACAACUUUCACUACAAGAGCAUCAACUCCAACCCUUUUCUUUUCCAUUCUUAAUUUACCCACUUCCUUUACUUUCUUUGUUUCUUUCUUUAAAUUUUUUGUUUCUCUCUUUUUUUCCUUUGUAUGGCUUUGAUUGUCGAUCAACAAUCAAACUUCAAGCACUUCUGUAAAAUUUGCAAGAAAGGUUUCGUUUGUGGGAGAGCUCUUGGAGGACACAUGAGGGCUCAUGGAAUUGGCGACGAGAACGGUAACAUGGACGAUGAAGACCCUGCAAAUGAUUGGGAAGAUAAAUUGGGAGGGAAUGUGCCCCCUAGUAACAAGCGGAUGUAUGCAUUAAGAACCAACCCCAAUCGAUUAAAGAGUUGUCGGGUUUGUGAAAAUUGUGGCAAAGAAUUUUUGUCAUGGAAAUCCUUUCUUGAACACGGCAAGUGCAGCUCCGAGGAUGCCGAGUCGCUUGUGUCCUCUCCAGGAUCCGACGGGGAGGACGGCACGCCAAGGAGAGGCUGCGGUUGGUCUAAAAGAAAAAGAUCACUGAGAGCUAAGGUGGGUAAUUUUAACUCAAAUUGCCCUUCCAGUGAAGAGGAAGAUCUCGCAAAUUGCCUUAUGAUGUUAUCUAAUGCAACAUUUGACCCUUUAGUAGCGGAACCAGAGGAGUCAUGUGCCUCGGCUAGCAAAGAAGAGGAGAGAAGGAAUCCGAUGAAUUUUAUAGCUCCGAUGGCUUUUAGGGCACCCGUGGACAAGGCCAAGGGAGUUGCUAAAGGAAUGUUCGAAUGCAAAGCAUGCAAGAAAGUUUUCAAUUCCCAUCAAGCAUUAGGUGGACAUAGAGCUAGUCACAAGAAGGUUAAAGGGUGUUUCGCAGCCCGUCUUGAUCAAGGACUAGAUGAUAAUCUAGCCGAUGAAGAUGUUAUUACACAUGAAGAAUUCUUUCCAACAAAAACAACGUCAACUUUCCAGUUUGAUCACGGUUCAAAUGCUCCGUUGGCUUCUACUUCCAAAAGGAAAUCAAAGGUCCAUGAAUGCUCCAUAUGUCAUCGUGUAUUUUCAUCGGGACAAGCUUUAGGUGGACAUAAAAGGUGUCAUUGGAUCACUUCAAAUUCACCAGAUGCAUCUUCUUUGGCUAAGUUUCAUCAGUUCCAAGAUCAGAUUGAGCAAAUUCAACAAAGACCUAAGUUUAUUAACAAUCCUGAGACGCUUGAUCUUACGCUUGAUCUGAAUCUUCCUGCUCCGGCUGAUGAGCGGCGGGAACCCCCUGCAAACCCACCUAGCAUUGAAGUUUCUACAGAGAUUUAUUUACAAACUUGGAAAGGGGUUGAAGCCAAAGAAAAGGAUGAAAAUCACCACCAUCACCAUCAAAAAGAGGAUGAUAACGACAAGAAUAACACCACCACCAACAACAAUAACACUAAUUGUAAUGGUUCAAUACAGAAUGUGGAUGAUGAAGCAGACAGUAAGGUGAAGUUAGCAAAGCUUAGCGAAUUAAAAGAUAUGAACAUGAAUGGAAGCUCAUCUCCAUGGUUGCAGGUAGGGAUUGGGCCAACCACUGAUGUGAGCGCUAACCCAUAAAAAAAUUUUUGUGAAGCGAUAUGAAGGUCUCUUCUUCUCUCAUUCUUCUCUUUUCCACUUAAUUUUCUUUUUGUGCACUUUUGUAUUUAAAAACUGUAAUUACAGACUCAGCAACAGAUUCAUAAUUAUAAUUCUACACCAUUUACUGUAAUUUUUUUUGUAGAGAUGGUAGAUCAUUAAAUUGAAUUUUAU
Molecule: unclassified non-coding RNA, 1976 nt
Filed under: Hevea brasiliensis (rubber tree)
Lineage: Eukaryota; Viridiplantae; Streptophyta; Magnoliopsida; Malpighiales; Euphorbiaceae
Source: RNAcentral